This 800-nucleotide ribosomal RNA is filed under the name uncultured bacterium. Its description in RNAcentral is "bacterial SSU rRNA". It matches the Rfam family "Bacterial small subunit ribosomal RNA", at positions 8 to 821 of the family's 1533-position model. The record is from RNAcentral.
AGAGUUUGAUCAUGGCUCAGGACGAACGCUGGCGGCGUGCUUAACACAUGCAAGUCGAACGAUGAAGCCCAGCUUGCUGGGUGGAUUAGUGGCGAACGGGUGAGUAACACGUGGGUGAUCUGCCCUGCACUUCGGGAUAAGCCUGGGAAACUGGGUCUAAUACCGGAUAUGACCAAGGACUGCAUGGUUUUUGGUGGAAAGGUUUACUGGUGCAGGAUGAGCCCGCGGCCUAUCAGCUUGUUGGUGGGGUAAUGGCCUACCAAGGCGACGACGGGUAGCCGGCCUGAGAGGGCGACCGGCCACACUGGGACUGAGACACGGCCCAGACUCCUACGGGAGGCAGCAGUGGGGAAUAUUGCACAAUGGGCGAAAGCCUGAUGCAGCGACGCCGCGUGAGGGAUGACGGCCUUCGGGUUGUAAACCUCUUUCAGCAGGGACGAAGCGCAAGUGACGGUACCUGCAGAAGAAGCACCGGCCAACUACGUGCCAGCAGCCGCGGUAAUACGUAGGGUGCGAGCGUUGUCCGGAAUUACUGGGCGUAAAGAGCUCGUAGGCGGUUUGUCGCGUCGUCUGUGAAAACCCGCAGCUCAACUGCGGGCUUGCAGGCGAUACGGGCAGACUUGAGUACUGCAGGGGAGACUGGAAUUCCUGGUGUAGCGGUGAAAUGCGCAGAUAUCAGGAGGAACACCGGUGGCGAAGGCGGGUCUCUGGGCAGUAACUGACGCUGAGGAGCGAAAGCGUGGGUAGCGAACAGGAUUAGAUACCCUGGUAGUCCACGCCGUAAACGGUGGGCGCUAGGU